UACACAUGGAUGUCCAACACUGAUAACAAGACACUUGACCACUAACGAAACAUCCAUUAGGUAUAGAAGAAAUAUUUGACAAACGAAUAUCAAGUGUCGUUACCGACUGGUCACAUCGGAGCAUGGAAAAUUGUAUUGACAUUAAAAAAGCAGAAGAUAACAACAACAAAUUGCACACCUGUACACAAAAGUGGUUAGAAUGAGCAUAAAUAAACAAACGAAACAGUGUGCAAAGACAUAAUGAAAACGUUUCUACUGCCAGAACGGAGAACGCUCAUAAAAUAUUUGUUUGCGGACAGCUGUUCUGGUUGACCAAAUGGCACUAAACGAGACAAACAAUUGGCAGUUGACAAUUGUCAAUUGAACAUUACUCAUUUUGGUGAGAAAUGAAAUGCAAAUAAAUUUCGAAAUGUUGCCACAGAAGGUAGUUGGUUAGAAAGCGGGCGAGCGGGUCACUUGAAGGCACCGACUACCUGAGCUAUCGACGUACUGCUCCUCGUACUUUGUCAUAAAUUUUUACACCCAAUUGUGUAUAUGUGUGUGUGCUGCGGCAUUGAGACACCUGCCAACUGUUGUCAUACUAACCGUGAUUGCUGUGUUUGGCCAACUGGCGGUCUCUUAUUGACACAAGCGCAGCGCUGUUUGCUUAGAUUUUUAUCGCGCUUUUCUUUGAAUGGCAGUUUUUAAUAAGCGCUUUGCUGGUGGUGGAAGAAAAUUGCUAUUUGCGGUUAAAUUAAAUGGAAAUUUGAGCUACGUUGACAUUUGUCAUGUGCAAAAAGUUUUUAAUGACAGCUGAAUCGAUAUUUUAGAUAUGAAAAUGUGGAAAUUGUCGGAGUUGAAGCAUUUCCUCAUCACAACUUCACCGUUAACUGAACAAAUGCUACUUCCAACACAAAAACAAUGACAACUUCAACCAUGAGGUACCAGCAAGUGAGAGGCAGUCGGGGGGACAAAUGCUUGGAGUCAACGAGCAGCACUCAUCAAAUGUCACAAUCCUUGGUAUUUACACUGUGCAACAUUGAAAGCUCACCAGCAACGGUCAACAUACAUUAGAGUAGUAGUAGUUGUAAUCAUCAAAUACAAAUACAAUUGGUCAACCAUGUGAAAAGCUGUGCAAACAGUUAGAGAACAGAGUGAAGCACGAAAUAAAACCACCGCAAAAAUGAUGAAAAAGAACCGUAAAAUAGUUGAAAAACGCAUUUCUCAAAGUAAACAAAUUUAAAGCGGAGCAUAAGUGUGGCAGCACAUAAAAGUGAAAGAGAUUAAA
Molecule: long non-coding RNA, 1267 nt
Organism: Bactrocera dorsalis (oriental fruit fly)
Lineage: Eukaryota; Metazoa; Arthropoda; Insecta; Diptera; Tephritidae
Exons: 3
Source: RefSeq, a predicted model, not a curated record